This 465-nucleotide ribosomal RNA is filed under the name uncultured bacterium. Its description in RNAcentral is "partial 16S ribosomal RNA". It matches the Rfam family "Bacterial small subunit ribosomal RNA", at positions 28 to 507 of the family's 1533-position model. The record is from RNAcentral.
GACGAACGCUGGCGGCGUGCUUAACACAUGCAAGUCGUACGGUAAGGCCCUUUCGGGGGUCCACGAGUGGCGAACGGGUGAGUAACACGUGCGUAACCUGCCCACAACUUUGGGAUAACGCUAGGAAACUGGUGCUAAUACUGGAUAUGUGCUCCUGCUGCAUGGUGGGGGUUGGAAAGCUCCGGCGGUUGUGGAUGGACUCGCGGCCUAUCAGCUUGGUGGUGGGGUAGUGGCCUACCAAGGCGGCGGCGGGUAGCCGGCCUGAGAGGGUGACCGGCCACAUUGGGACUGAGAUACGGCCCAGACUCCUACGGGAGGCAGAAGUGGGGAAUAGUGCACAAUGGGCGCAAGCCUGAUGCUGCAACGCCGCGGGCGGGAUGACGGCCUUCGGGUUGUAAACCGCUUUCAGCAGGGACGAAGCUUUUUGUGACGGUACCUGCAGAAGAAGCACCGGCUAACUACGUG